UUUUCCAUUUUUUGCAACCAGCAGGAAGUUCAUUUUUCAGCUCAGUUCAAUUUUGCACGUCAUCUCCAGCGGUUUAAGCGGUUCAAGCGGAUCUAACUAACCGCAGAACACAACAGCAACAUUUUUCUGAAUUCUGGGAACAUUUUUUUUCUUUCGCGAGUGCUAUAGUGGCUAAAAUAUAUUCAAGCAAAUCAAGCAAUACAAGCAAUUGAGCAAUCUUAAACAAUGAACUGUUUAGAUUAGUGAAGUUUCUCUUUCAACUUAGUGGAGUUUUCCAAAUAGUUUAUACAAAUCAGAUCCAGCAUGUAUCGGUUGCAAAGACGCGCUGCUUUGAUAGCCAAGCAAGAUCUUUGUACCCUU
This is a long non-coding RNA of Drosophila guanche, 360 nucleotides long. RefSeq lists it as uncharacterized. NCBI's taxonomy places the organism in Eukaryota, Metazoa, Arthropoda, Insecta, Diptera, Drosophilidae. The record is from RefSeq and is a predicted model, not a curated record. The transcript has 3 exons.